CUUUAUCUUUAAGAAUCGUACUCUAUUGGAAGUGGUAACUAUACACAUUUUUUAACAUUGGUGCUGUGGCGCCCUCUAUUGCAUGAAAGAUUCAAUGUGCCAAGGUUUUGUACAAUUUUACAUGGACAGAAAAGGCGAUGCGGCUUGGACAAAAUCUAUUCUUCAGGAUUCUCAGCUCCGUUUUGAAUCUAAGGUUUAUUAGCUUCCUUAGAGGUGAUGUCAG
Pelobates cultripes (western spadefoot toad) is the source of this 223-nucleotide non-coding RNA. The record is from the annotation of a GenBank genome assembly. NCBI's taxonomy places the organism in Eukaryota, Metazoa, Chordata, Amphibia, Anura, Pelobatidae.